AUGGAGACAGCGCCCAAAUUCCUAUUGCCGAAGCCUGGACAGUCUGGCCUCCGGCCCCCUGGCUUCUCCAACCUGCCUCCUGCCCAGCUGGCUGCCUUGGGCUGUGUCCGCAGUGCCAGUGUGUCGUCAGUGUCCAGCAACCAAUCAGACGAAGGCAGCCACCAUAGACCUUCCGUGUCCAGGAAGGAAACUGAAAGAGCAAGAGCCUCAGUGUCCCUGAAAAGGUGUGCAGUUAUCCCACCAAAACCUCAGUCUGCAGUGUUUUGUGGGGAAGCAGAAGAUGUUACACUGAUCCAGAGGCUGAAGCGACGCUGUGAGGACCAAGCCAGGCAGCUGAGGAGCCUCCAGGUGGAGCUUCAGUGGAGAAGCCAUGUCCUGGAGGUCUUCUCCAUCACCACCCAGCACUUUAGUCAGCAGGUAUGGGUCCUGAUGGCUGCUCCGCUUUUAUGUGUGCAAGUACUAGUGAAAAGAGGGAUGUGAGUAGGAUGUGUGUGUUCACGUGCUCAUGAAUAAAUGAAGAUUAUCUAACAUACUGUCAUUUCAUUAUAUCUUUGUGACAAUGUUUCUCCAUAUAUGAAGUGUAUGGAUGUCUACAGUUCAGUGUGAGGAGAUCUGGGACCCUCGUGGACGUGGAGAAACCCGUCCUUGCCUUUUGUGCUGCAGCCGGCAGAAUUGAAUGAAUCUGAUUAGUUUACAGAGGAUGACUGAAGGGUCCAUCUUGGGCCACACCCCUAGUCCUGUGGGAAUCGUAACAUUUAUAGCAAUUGGUGGUAAUGUCUGUAUAGCACUGUUUCAUCUUCCCCUUUAAAUAUUAAAAUACAAAUGUACCAAAUUAAGUAAAAACAAUUAAUGCAAAGAUGUAUAAUGUAAAAAUCUUGGACUUUAUUGUUGAAGAACGUAUAAUGAAAUCACAACCCUUCUUCUGCAAUACAGAGAUGAUGUGGCAGAAAUGUAGCCCGGUUUUCAUCAGACUCUGCCCACUAUCAUUUGUGGACAAAUAAGAAGAUCCGGAUGCAUGCGAGUGUGUGUGUGUGUGUGUGUGUGUGUGUGUGUGUGUGUAGGCAGUUGCAGUGUCAUUCUUCUGCUGCUUCCCCCCCUCUUGUUCCUCCUCUCUCUCGUUCUGUGCCCCGCCCUUUGCAACUGUGUGUGUGUGUGUGUGUGUGAGGGUAGAGAGGGUGUUUCCCUGGUAGUUCUAAUGCUAAUGAAGCUGUCUUCAGACCUAGCAUGGGCCAGAGCUGCCGUGCUUUUUGUCCCCGUCCUCCCAGCUGUCUGGAUGCCACGGUAACAGCAGGAUGAGCAGCUUCGGCACCGUAGGACACUGACUGUGUGUGGAGCCAUUUGUUUAAUCUUUUACCUGUGUGUGUGUGUGUGUGUGUGUGUGUGUGGUCUGCAGUUUUAUUAGUGAGAAUUUUUCUGCAUUUGACUGUGUGUAUGUGUGCAUGUGUAUAAGUGUAUAAGAUCAGAGACUGGUCUUUUUGUCCAUGGGUAAUAUGUGUCU
This is a long non-coding RNA of Denticeps clupeoides (denticle herring), 1498 nucleotides long. Lineage: Eukaryota; Metazoa; Chordata; Actinopteri; Clupeiformes; Denticipitidae. The record is from Ensembl.